UGGGUAACCUGCCUCAAAGAGGGGAAUAGCCUCCCGAAAGGGAGAUUAAUACCGCAUAAUAUGUUUUAGUCGCAUGACUUAAACAUCAAAGGAUUUUCUUUUAGAAGUUCCACUUUGAGAUGGACCCGCGGCGCAUUAGUUAGUUGGUGAGGUAACGGCUCACCAAGGCAACGAUGCGUAGCCGACCUGAGAGGGUNAUCGGCCACAUUGGAACUGAGACACGGUCCAGACUCCUACGGGAGCAG
Molecule: ribosomal RNA, 245 nt
Filed under: uncultured bacterium
Lineage: Bacteria
Description: partial 16S ribosomal RNA
Rfam family: Bacterial small subunit ribosomal RNA
Source: RNAcentral